GACGAACGCUGGCGGCGUGCUUAACACAUGCAAGUCGAACGGAAAGGCCCUGCUUUUGUGGGGUGCUCGAGUGGCGAACGGGUGAGUAACACGUGAGUAACCUGCCCUUGACUUUGGGAUAACUUCAGGAAACAGGGGCUAAUACCGGAUAGGAGCUCCUGCUGCAUGGGGGGGGUUGGAAAGUUUCGGCGGUUGGGGAUGGAAUAGCGGCUUAUCAGCUUGUUGGUGGGGUAGUGGCUUACCAAGGCUUUGACGGGUAGCCGGCCUGAGAGGGUGACCGGCCACAUUGGGACUGCGGUACGGCCCAGACUCCUACGGGCGGCAGCAGUGGGGAAUAUUGCACAAUGGGCGGAAGCCUGAUGCAGCAACGCCGCGUGCGUGAUGACGUCCUUCGGGUUGUAAACCGCUUUCGCCUGUGCCGAAGCGUUAGUGACGGUAACGGGUAAAGAAGCACCGGCUAACUACGUG
This 468-nucleotide ribosomal RNA is filed under the name uncultured bacterium. RNAcentral's name for it is "partial 16S ribosomal RNA". It matches the Rfam family "Bacterial small subunit ribosomal RNA", at positions 28 to 507 of the family's 1533-position model. The record is from RNAcentral.